UUUCUCCUGCUCGGUGCGUGAUGGUUUCUUUUUAAACCCACAUCUCUGAAACGGGACGCCCCCACUCGUGCCGUGGAUUGCAGGCCUCCCGGCGCGCCCUUUUGGGGCGCCGCCGGAAGUUGGAAGCAGUAAAGCGGCGCGGAGGCGACCCACCUGCCAUUUCGUGCAGGUUUUAAUCAGGGCCACACGGCCAGAGCGGGAGAUUU
This 206-nucleotide non-coding RNA is filed under the name Intestinimonas butyriciproducens. Its description in RNAcentral is "6S / SsrS RNA". It matches the Rfam family "6S / SsrS RNA". From Rfam's summary of the family: E. coli 6S RNA was the first non coding RNA to be sequenced, but its function was unknown until recently. It consists of 184 nucleotides that fold into an extended hairpin structure with a large single-stranded internal bulge. The 6S RNA specifically associates with RNA polymerase holoenzyme containing the sigma70 specificity factor. RNAcentral also lists the same sequence under 2 other names. The record is from Rfam by way of RNAcentral. Lineage: Bacteria; Bacillati; Bacillota; Clostridia; Eubacteriales.